UACGUAGGUCCCGAGCGUUGUCCGGAUUUGUUGGGCGUAAAGCGAGCGCAGGUGGUUUAUUAAGUCUGGUGUAAAAGGCAGUGGCUCAACCAUUGUAUGCAUUGGAAACUGGUAAACUUGAGUGCAGGAGAGGAGAGUGGAAUUCCAUGUGUAGCGGUGAAAUGCGUAGAUAUAUGGAGGAACACCGGUGGCGAAAGCGGCUCUCUGGCCUGUAACUGACACUGAGGCUCGAAAGCGUGGGGAGCAAACAGG
This 252-nucleotide ribosomal RNA is filed under the name uncultured bacterium. RNAcentral describes it as "partial 16S ribosomal RNA". It matches the Rfam family "Bacterial small subunit ribosomal RNA", at positions 524 to 776 of the family's 1533-position model. The record is from RNAcentral.